Molecule: long non-coding RNA, 4499 nt
Organism: Hemibagrus wyckioides
Lineage: Eukaryota; Metazoa; Chordata; Actinopteri; Siluriformes; Bagridae
Exons: 3
Source: RefSeq, a predicted model, not a curated record
GUGUGUCAAGAGACCAUAUGCCUAGUUGGCUUUGGAACACGGACAAGACCGAACACACAAUGCAUCACUACAAUGCAGUUCCUUUAGCCAGACAUUCCGUGCUCCAGGCAGAUUGAUUAUGAAACAUCCCAAAAGGACAUGAUGUCAUCGCACUUGGCAAUGAGGGCCAACAGACCUGAGGAGAAUAUGCUUGACUUACUGGAAUCAAUUGAAACCACUGGGAGGAAAAGUUCCAAGCUUGUACUAACUGGCAGAGGGAAAGUGUGGGAAGAGUAAGUGAAUUAUAUAGGGGAGGCUGGAUUUCCGAAGCUUUCUGGGUUUCUACAUUCAACACAGAAAUCUCUUUAGCCUAAUUAAUUAUUACUCUAACUCACUGCUCCUGUGCCAAUCCUUUGGCAGGUCUGCUUAAAUCAACAGCGGACACACCCACGCUUACUGGAUCAUUAUUUUUAGAGUAUUCUGUGCCUUGUAAAUCUGAAAGUGCCAUUGUAAUAGCUCAGGAUUGAAAACUUGUUAUUUAUGGUGUAUUCUGCCAUUUCUGUAUAUGCAUAUGUCUCUAUUUAUCAAAAAGUUUUCAUUCAGAAUGAUAAAUAAUUGCGUAUAUUCCCAGGCAUUUUCCUGUGAUGCUUCAGUAUGCGAGUUAGCUUGCUGAAACUCUGGAUUUAUAGUGCAAAUAACUGCAGACGAGAAGCUCAUUUCCUUCCCAGAGAAUUAUUCAUUCAGUCAUUCAUCCUGAGCAUCUCAGCACGGGUGGUUCUUUUAAAAAGUGCCUCCCUUAAGUUCCCGUGUAAGACUUCCUGGAAUGUUUUUCCCCCUGCAGCUUUUCAGAGCCUUUUAUCAGCAUAAACCCUGCUUUGCAUUUCUUUCUUUCUUUUUUUAUCUGACAGGCCAUAGACACAUUAUGCACAGUCCUUUCUUUUCUAUUUUGGCUUUAGCAAUUGAACAGGACACCGCAAUACCACAUCCUCUGGACUCAUUGCCCACAUCCAGAUACCAUGAAUAAUGGAUUCUCAGUGAAAGUAGCCCGUUUGAUUUAUGUGUGUUCAAAGAGCCAGAUAGUGGGAAAGUGGUCAGAUGGUGGUCCAAUAUCUCCCUUGUGAAGGACCUUUCUUUGCCAAGAUGCCUAAGCUCAUCUCAGCUAAGCUAUUCUGGAGUGAUGGGCUGAACAAUAUAGCCAGAAGAUAUAAACAUACAAAAUAAAAGUACACAAUAACUGUAGUGUGUCUGUAGUGUUUAAGGAACAUGUAAUUUACGUUUCCAGGAAAAAAGAUGAUAUCUGUUUUCACAGGUGCAGUUGCAUUCUGGAAAGCUACAGUAUAUUUAUAUUUACCUCUGCAUUCACUUUUUCUUUCAUAUUAGUGCAAGAUUAGUACAAUUAACCGGUUUCAUUUUUCACAUUCAUUAACUUGUGGCUCUUUACCUACAGGGUUGUCAGGGUAGAGCAUGCGGUUGCCUCAUCAUACAAGGUGGUUUGGAUCUUUCAGUAUUAUUUUCUGUGGCUAGAUUAAUGGUUAACCUGGCCACAAAAUUGCAAACUUAAGCCAACUAAUACAAAUAAUUGAAUGAAUAUGGUUAAGGUUAGGGCUUGAGAAUGAGUUACUAUUAAUGGCUAUAUGGGCAACUUGUUUGUAAUCAGUCCAACUAAAUCAGUCUUGCUUAUUUGAAAUCAGAUUGCAAGGUGAGGACUUCUGCUGCCUUGGAAGGAGCCAAUGAUCUCACGCUGUUCCAAGAAACACUGUUUGACAGAACUUCAUUCAACUGAAUACCGUAGUGAAAAAGCAUGAGAAUGUCCAGAGGCAAAUGUACAGUCAACCCAUCAUGAUCAUGAGCAAGACCUGAUAAAUAAGCUUUGGAUUUCCCAGUAAAAAUGCUUGCUUUUCCCCAAAUGAAUUUUAUAUUAAUUGUUUCGUUCAUUUAAAAUGACUGACACCCCUAGAGAACAUUCAGAUAUACACUAUAUUGCCAAAAGUAUUCGCUCACCUGCCUUGACUCGCAUAUGAACUUAAGUGACAUCCCAUUCCUAAUCCAUAGGGUUCAAUAUGACGUCGGUCCACCCUUUGCAGCUAUAACAGCUUCAACUCUUCUGGGAAGGCUGUCCACAAGGUUUAGGAGUGUGUUUAUGGGAAUUUUUGACCAUUCUUCCAGAAGCGCAUUUGUGAGGUCACACACUGAUGUUGGACGAGAAGGACUGGCUCUCAGUCUCCGCUCUAAUUCAUCCCAAAGGUGUUCUAUCGGGUUGAGGUCAGGACUCUGUACAGGCCAGUCAAGUUCAUCCACACCAGACUCUGUCAUCCAUGUCUUUAUGGACCUUGCUUUGUGCCCUGGUGCACAGUCAUGUUGGAAGAGGAAGGGGCCAGCUCCAAACUGUUCCCACAAAGUUGGGAGCAUGGAAUUGUCCAAAAUGUCUUGGUAUGCUGAAGCAUUCAGAGUUCCUUUCACUGGAACUAAGGGGCCAAGCCCAGCUCCUGAAAAACAACCCCACACCAUAAUCCCCCCUCCACCAAACUUUACAUUUGGCACAAUGCAGUCAGACAAGUACCGUUCUCCUGGCAACUGCCAAACCCAGACUCGUCCAUCAGAUUGCCAGAUGGAGAAGCACGAUUCGUCACUCCAGAGAACGCGUCUCCACUGCUCUAGAGUCCAGUGGCGGCGUGCUUUACACCACUGCAUCUGACGCUUUGCAUUGCACUUGGUGAUGUAUGGCUUGGAUGCAGCUGUUCAGCCAUGGAAACCCAUUCCAUGAAGCUCUCUGCACACUGUUCUUGAGCUAAUCUGAAGGCCACAUGAAGUUUGGAGGUCUGUAGCGAUCGACUCUGCAGAAAGUUGGCGACCUCUUCGCACUAUGUGCCUCAGCAUCCGCUGACCCCGCUCCGGCAGUUUACGUGGCCUACCACUUCGUGGCUGAGUUGCUGUCGUUCCCAAACACUUCCACGUUCUUAUAAUACAGCUGACAGUUGACUGUGGAAUAUUUAGGAGCGAGGAAAUUUCACGACUGGAUUUGUUGCACAGGUGGCAUCCUAUCACAGUUCCACGCUGGAAUUCACUGAGCUCCUGAGAGCGACCCAUUGGUGCUUGAUUUUAUAAACCUGUGGCCAUGGAAGUGAUUGGAACACCUGAUUCUGAUUAUUUGGAUGGGUGAGCGAAUACUUUUGGCAAUAUAGUGUAUAAAGGUAAUUGUAGGCCUUUAUAUUUUGGUAAUAGCUCUGGGUACCACAUAUAUGACAACAUAUAUGAGGUUGAAAAUUCUCCUGUAAUUCAUCCUAAUUUUUUGCAAAAGGCAGGUUGUUGUUGUCUUUCAUCGUAUAAUCCUUCAUAAGAACAUGUUGUUCAGCAGAAGAGGACACAUGAGCAUAUUGCUCACUAGGACAGUGAAAGAUGCAAAAUCAUUUAGAUACAGAGCUUGAACUUCAUUGUGUCACUGGAAUUACAACUGGAAUUAUAUUGUGGUCAUAUAAAUGAAAGACAUCUUUUGAUCUUUUAGACAUUCAACAUGUACAGCAGUGAAUAAGGACUGAGAAAAAGAAAAAGCAUCCAUUUGUUCAUUAACAAUUUGAGGAUAUUUGCAAUUAUUAUUAUUAGUAUCAUCUCUUGUGAUGACCCUUGCAACGUACAACGACAUUUUGGCCCCAAACUUGGUUGUACCUGUCAGCAGGUUAGCUAAACUAGAAGAUAAUUACCCCACAAUUCAACAGAGGUUGUAAAAACACAACCAAUGUUAUGCCAUGGCAACCUUCUUCUUCGAAUUAAAACUUUAUUAAAUUUAGAAGUUAAACAAGUUAUAUAAGUUGUGAACAACAAUCUGAAUAAUUCAUUCUAGAGUUAGGUUCCUUAGGCGUGUCCUUAGAGUCCUUAAUCCUUACACUCCCUCUACAAUUUAUCACCAGAUUUUUACAAUUGUUUUAGUAAAAAUAUUUUAGUGAGUUUCCACCAGUCAAGCAUAAUCUAUUUACCAUGUUGCAUUAUUAAUGGUGUUUUAAAGGAAAAAUAAAAAGCAUGAAUGGCCCAUUCAGUCUUUUCAUUUAUGCCUUUACUUAGUGGGGUAAUGAGCCAACUGCAUGUGAUUUUGACAGUGGCUAAAGUUGGCCCCCUCUAGACCGUUUAGUCUGUGCCCAGGCUCUAAUCCCUCCAAAGCAAGGCGGCUGACAUCAUUCCUUCCAGACACUGGGGCUUGUUAUUGCUGCCAUUCCAGGACUUCGUGCUGUAACUGAGCAAACAUUUCAUGGGACUUCACAGGGGCUGUCAUUCCGGCAACAGAGAGUUGUAGCAGUUCAACACACUAGCACACUUCAGACUGGGGGGCCUACAGACUUUCGUUAAUUACAUAGCACAGAGAUCAGCUGCAUUAGCACCCCUACUGAAACUAGCAUUUAUAGACUUAGUAGCUUAUGAACUAUAAAUCUGCUCAUUGUAGGGAACCUGUUGAAUUACCAACAACCACAAAAUAUGUCUGAAGUGUUUAUGCUAUUUAUAUGACUUAAACAUACAGAAACAGUAAGUAA